UGGUUGACAAAUGUCAUCGUAUCCCAAUUGCGGAGAUCGAUGCUCAUGCUGUUGAUCCCUUGAUUGUCUGGUCCAGACACGAUGUUUAAUUACAGACCGUUGCCACAUAGGUG
Haliotis rubra (blacklip abalone) is the source of this 113-nucleotide long non-coding RNA. RefSeq lists it as uncharacterized. The transcript is spliced from 3 exons. The record is from RefSeq and is a predicted model, not a curated record. Lineage: Eukaryota; Metazoa; Mollusca; Gastropoda; Lepetellida; Haliotidae.